GUCACUCCUCCCUCCCCUCCUUCUCUUCUCCCUUCCCUCUCUCAAUUCCCUCUCCCUCACGGCCCACAGCAGCUGCCGGCACACCAGACCACCAGCAGACCACCGUGAGCAGCCCGCAGCAGCACAGCCGCGUUUUCCCUCCCCCACGCACUACAAGCAGCAGCCUCACCACGAACGACCACAGCAGCGGCUGUUUCGUGAGCCACCAGCAGGUACAGCAGCCGCAAGAGGUGGUUCCUCCACCAUUUUCGUGCUCCACACCACUACAAAAACCAUUUAUACCCUCACCCAUUUCUAGUUCCCCUUGUGCCCGGUUCAUAAGAGGGGCGUAAGAACCCCUUCGAAGCGAUUUUUGUGGCUUGUCAUCUUGCAGUGCAGCAGGGGCGUCGUAGAUAGGUCUUGCAGGUUUUGGAGUUUCCUUGCAUUGCAUAUGGGGGGGGGAUCGAGUGAGAACCUUGACGCGUGCCCUGUUCGAACCAUUUUUGACGCUACAUGUGAUUUCGAAUUGAAAGUGUGUAUGUUUUGGUUGAGGCAUGAGUCCUCCUUUUGAUGUAAUUCGUUCCGCUGCAAAGAUUUAUAUCGUUUUAUAUUUUGUUAUAGUAUCUUGAAUGGCUUGUACAGUGGAUUAUCUUUUUGCUUGGAAAACCCAAGUGUUUACAUGGGAACCACGAUCCAUGCUUAGCAUGUCGACAGAGGUUUUGGCGAUGACCUUUCC
This is a long non-coding RNA of Amaranthus tricolor (Joseph's coat), 715 nucleotides long. RefSeq lists it as uncharacterized. The record is from RefSeq and is a predicted model, not a curated record. The transcript is spliced from 3 exons. NCBI's taxonomy places the organism in Eukaryota, Viridiplantae, Streptophyta, Magnoliopsida, Caryophyllales, Amaranthaceae.